UCUUGUUAUGUGUGGAGCCUUUGUUCUUACUAAGGCUCAGUGACUUUCGAUAGGAAAAUACUUCUCACCCUAGAAGUAAAUCUUUGAAAACUAAUUGCUUUGUAUAACUACAUGAAUGAAUAGACUAGCUUCAAAGAACAAAAUCAUCUCCAUGAUAACCAAGUUCUAUGAGAAGACCAGUUAUCUAGAAUUUCAUUAUAAAAUGAGAAAACUAAAAACAUUUCUCACUGCUUAGAAAAAGUUUGCUUCUCCUAUUUUUCAUUUUAUCUCCCAAGAGUAAAACUUCCUUCAGUAUUUUACAACAGCAAAGAAAUUUGCACCUCAUUUCCGUCUUGUUAUGUUGCUGGUGAAUUGAGUGCACUAGGUAAAGAGAAUAUCUUUUUCAUAUCUAGUAUCAGAGGCCAUGUGUCUGACCAAGAUAGCAACUAUGGAUAGGAAAUUCAGAGAUUUGUUUUCAACUUCUUUACAUUUAACUAUGGCAACUUUGGGGCAAGUCACUAAG
This 502-nucleotide long non-coding RNA is filed under the name Bos taurus (domestic cattle). Its description in RNAcentral is "long non-coding RNA NONBTAT024024". Lineage: Eukaryota; Metazoa; Chordata; Mammalia; Artiodactyla; Bovidae. The record is from RNAcentral.